This 468-nucleotide ribosomal RNA is filed under the name uncultured bacterium. RNAcentral describes it as "partial 16S ribosomal RNA". It matches the Rfam family "Bacterial small subunit ribosomal RNA", at positions 28 to 507 of the family's 1533-position model. The record is from RNAcentral.
GACGAACGCUGGCGGCGUGCUUAACACAUGCAAGUCGAACGGAAAGGCCCUGCUUUUGUGGGGUGCUCGAGUGGCGAACGGGUGAGUAACACGUGAGUAACCUGCCCUUGACUUUGGGAUAACUUCAGGAAACUGGGGCUAAUACCGGAUAGGAGCUCCUGCUGCAUGGUGGGGGUUGGAAAGUUUCGGCGGUUGGGGAUGGACUCGCGGCUUAUCAGCUUGUUGGUGGGGUAGUGGCUUACCAAGGCUUUGACGGGUAGCCGGCCUGAGAGGGUGACCGGCCACAUUGGGAAUGAGAUACGGCCCAGAAUCCUACGGGAGGGAGCAGUGGGGAAUAUUGCACAAUGGGCGGAAGCCUGAUGCAGCAACGCCGCGUGCGGGAUGACGGCCUUCGGGUUGUAAACCGCUUUCGCCUGUGACGAAGCGUGAGUGACGGUAAUGGGUAAAGAAGCACCGGCUAACUACGUG